RNAcentral lists this ribosomal RNA (253 nucleotides) under uncultured bacterium. RNAcentral describes it as "partial 16S ribosomal RNA". It matches the Rfam family "Bacterial small subunit ribosomal RNA", at positions 524 to 776 of the family's 1533-position model. The record is from RNAcentral.
UACAGAGGUCUCAACCGUUGUUCGGAUUCAUUGGGCGUAAAGGGUGCGUAGGUGGUCGCGUAAGUCGGAUGUGAAAUCUCGGGGCUCAACCCUGAAACUGCAUUCGAUACUGCGUGGCUAGGGUACUGGAGAGGAGACUGGAAUUUACGGUGUAGCAGUGAAAUGCGUAGAUAUCGUAAGGAAGACCAGUGGCGAAGGCGAGUCUCUGGACAGUUACCGACACUGAGGCACGAAGGCCAGGGGAGCGAACGGG